Molecule: non-coding RNA, 1717 nt
Organism: Microcebus murinus (gray mouse lemur)
Lineage: Eukaryota; Metazoa; Chordata; Mammalia; Primates; Cheirogaleidae
Source: RefSeq, a predicted model, not a curated record
CACACUAACCUGGGCAACAGAGUCAGACUGUCUCAAAAGAAAAAACAAACAAACAAACAAAAAAACCCUGGGACUGCCUUCCAGGCCCAUCAGCCAUCUGCCUGGUUGUAGACACACUGGCUAGGGAGGGGUCUUGGCAUCUCAGUCAUGUCUGUGCUAUCUCAGCCAGGGGACAGUGUGACUUCCACCUCUGCAGAGGAUCCUUGAGCCUGGCCACAAUCCCAAGACAACAAGGCCCCGGUGUGCUUCAGCUGUGUCAUGGGAGAUGUAGUAAUGGACUGGAGCUCAGGGCUCCCAAAAUUUGGGGAUCUAGGUAGGCAAGAGAGAACUUUGCUCCAGAGGAGUUCUUGGAGAGUACCUCUGAGGAAGAAGAGAACAGGAGGUGGAGUUUUGCACUUGAGACCUCGGCUUCUCUUUCAUCACCUUGCUCCCCAGAUCCACUGUAUGCUCAACAUCUGGGGUGUCAUCCUCUACCUGCAGCUGCCUUGGAUCACUGCUCAGGCAGGCGUAGGACUCACAUGGUUCAUUGUCCUGCUCUUGGCCUCUGUCUCUACUACCCAGUAGUGGCUUGUGUAUCUCAGCCAACACCACCAAUGGCAAAAUCAAGGUUGGUGAGUCUAUGGUGACCUCGUUAACCCUAGGGGUCCACAGUCCUAUUAGGAACUGCCAAGACCACAGACCAGUUCUUCUUUUCUCUCCUCUCAGGUGGCACAAAUUUCCUCAUCUCACGCAGCCUGGAUCCAGAGCUUGGCAUUUCCACUGGGAUCAUCUUCGCCUUUGCCAAUGCCAUAGCUGUGGCUAUGCACAUGGUGGGCUUUGCAGAGACCCUCUCAGACUUACUCCAGAUAAUGCCUGUCCCUUUCCUUUUUGUGUUCCUCUCUUAAGUCUGCUGACCCUGGAAAGUCUAACCCUCUAUCUGAAGGUCUAAUCCUCCAUCCCAGGCAAAUCAUUUAAACAAUCAUAUGGAAGCAUCAAAUCAGCUAAUAAAUACUUGUGACCUCAGUGUUCUGCCCUUCCAGGAGCAUGGGGUGCAGCUGCCAAACAUGGAUCCUGAAAACGAUUUGCGAGUGGUGGGCGUGGCCACCGUGACUAUCUUUCUGGGUGUGGCGCUGACUGGCAUAGAGUGGGAGUCUAAGGCAGGUAUUGGGAAAUCUAGGUGGGGGUGAGGAGGCUGAGGGGUGGCAGGGCCAGGUGGCGAUGGGAGGAGAGGUGGGCUUAUGUGUGUGUGGUGGGUAAAAGCAGCUGCUGCCUGAGAAGACCAAGCUAAAUAUGGGGGAAGGAGGUGGUGGAGCAGAUUCCCAGGGAGAGGAACCUGAAAUUAGAUGGUUUUGUUGGAAGAGACUUCACACCCCAGUUCUUCAAGGGGAAGAAAAGAGGAUUUAUUCUGAGGAUCUGUUGGGAUGAGCACCGGACAGGACUAGUGGGAGAGACACCAGAUGAGAAAUGCUAUGUAUUGCUCCCAGACCAGAUAUUUGCAAUUUUAAGAUCUACCUCUGUGGCACGGGGAGGUAUGCUUUGCAGUUUGAGGCAAGAAGGAAAAGGAUACCCAUUUGGCUGGAACUCCUUUGUGGAAGAGGCCAGUAGAAAAAGGAACUAGAGGGUUAGGAAAAGCAUUAAGAUGGGACAAGGAGGAGUGGGGCCUGGUAGCAUGCACCUGUAGUCUCAGCUACUGGGAAGGCUGAGGGGGGAGGAUUGCUUGAACCGAAGAGUUCAAGGC